RNAcentral lists this ribosomal RNA (493 nucleotides) under Staphylococcus haemolyticus. RNAcentral's name for it is "bacterial SSU rRNA". It matches the Rfam family "Bacterial small subunit ribosomal RNA", at positions 1040 to 1533 of the family's 1533-position model. Lineage: Bacteria; Bacillati; Bacillota; Bacilli; Caryophanales; Staphylococcaceae. The record is from RNAcentral.
GGUGCAUGGUUGGCGUCAGCGCGUGUCGUGAGAUGUUGGGUGAAGUCCCGCAACGAGCGCAACCCUUAAGCUUAGUUGCCAUCAUUAAGUUGGGCACUCUAAGGUGACUGCCGGUGACAAACCGGAGGAAGGUGGGGAUGACGUCAAAUCAUCAUGCCCCUUAUGACCUGGGCUACACACGUGCUACAAUGGACGGUACAAAGAGCUGCAAGACCGCGAGGUGGAGCUAAUCUCAUAAAACCGUUCUCAGUUCGGAUUGUAGGCUGCAACUCGCCUACAUGAAGCUGGAAUCGCUAGUAAUCGCGGAUCAGCAUGCCGCGGUGAAUACGUUCCCGGGCCUUGUACACACCGCCCGUCACACCACGAGAGUUUGUAACACCCGAAGUCGGUGGGGUAACCUUUUUGGAGCCAGCCGCCUAAGGUGGGACAGAUGAUUGGGGUGAAGUCGUAACAAGGUAGCCGUAUCGGAAGGUGCGGCUGGAUCACCUCCUUU